AGGCUUUGAUCCUGGCUCAGGAUGAACGCUAGCGGCAGGCCUAAUACAUGCAAGUCGAGCGGUAGUUUUGUCUUCGGACGAGAUGAGAGCGGCGCACGGGUGAGUAACGCGUACACUACCUACCUUUAACACUGGGAUAGCCCUGGGAAACUGGGAGUAAUACUGGAUGUGGUCACGUUAUAUAGAUGUGAUUAAAGCUGAGGCGGUUAGAGAUGGGUGUGCGUCUGAUUAGCUAGUUGGUGAGGUAACGGCUCACCAAGGCGAUGAUCAGUAGGGGGCGUGAGAGCGUGGUCCCCCACACGGGUACUGAGACACGGACCCGACUCCUACGGGAGGCAGCAGUAAGGAAUAUUGGGCAAUGGACGGAAGUCUGACCCAGCCAUGCGGGGGGGCGAGGAAGACGGCCCUAUGGGUUGUAAACUGCUUUUCUGAGGGAAGAAAAGUAUCUAUUUAUGGGUAUCUGACGGUACCUUCAGGAAUAAGCACCGGCUACAUCCGUGC
This 501-nucleotide ribosomal RNA is filed under the name uncultured Saprospiraceae bacterium. RNAcentral's name for it is "bacterial SSU rRNA". It matches the Rfam family "Bacterial small subunit ribosomal RNA", at positions 8 to 508 of the family's 1533-position model. Lineage: Bacteria; Pseudomonadati; Bacteroidota; Saprospiria; Saprospirales; Saprospiraceae. The record is from RNAcentral.